GUGCGCGGCGGGCCAGAGAUUCCUAGUCGAGGGUCCUGGGAGGUAGACGCGUGUUCCAAGACCCCACCCUUCCAAGAGCUCCUUAAUGGAUUCAGUGGGCACUAGGGCCCCGGGAGAAAAGGGGCGGAGAUUCCCGUUCCCAUUUCUCAGGUGAGGAAACUGAUCCGAGAAAGGAUAUUUUAUCUCUCAGGCAGGCAUCAGCCUCAACUCUUGAGUCCCGGGGCUAAAACGACUACGUACAUUUGGUGCCCUGAGACCAUGGCCUACGCACUCAAAACCCGAAACAAUGCUUGGAACAGCAGCGCUCAAUAGACUUAUGCCUCCACCCCCACCCCCAACUCAGGCGGGAGGCCAGGGAUCCACAGGCUGCAAUGGAGGAAGGCCAGGUGGUCCCAGUGGUGAUGGCUUCCUCAGGGAAGGGGUGUUGACUUGUCUGGCCCAGUUUAGGGGGUGGAUCUUGGAGUUUUCCCUUGCUGGAAAUUAACACCUUGGGAGGGAGACCUAGACUGUCACCUAUCCAACCCAUAUGGGAGCCACAGAGGAAAAGGACAGAAUUGUCCACACAGAAAGUGUUACAGAAACAGAAAAUGUCAUGUGCAAGCCAUCCACAAAGAACUCUCCACCACAGAUGCCAAUGAGACAAGCGGGGGACAUCCAGGAAGGAUGGGGUGAGGAUCUCUGCCCUUGGGUGAGACUGUCCCCACCACAGCCCCCUUCCCCAAGAAGAAGGGAAGCUUGGUUCACUAUUCUCCCACCUCUGCCUACCUCAAAAAGGAGAAUUGAAGUCUCACCUUGCUAUUAAACUUUUUGCUGAGUUUUUUGAACCAAUCAGCCUUCAAGUCAGGAAGAAGCUCCUUCAGUCUCCAGCACCGCUGGGGGAGAUGGCCCCUGCAUCACCAGCCUUGUCUUCUAGGGAGGGGUGCGUCCACCCGGGACCCUGGAGUGUGCUCUCCUGGAUCCUGCUGAUAAUACCCAUGGCUGGUAUUUGUGCAGCCCUUACCCUGAGCAGGGCAUUGUGCUAAACAGUUAAGGCCCUGCUGACCAAUGCCAUCUAACACUGGCAGUUCCCUCUGACACCCCAAGACUCCUCUCCAGAUUUCCAGAGCUUUGCAUGUACCAUUCCCUCUGCCAAGAUAGGCCUCAUCAAGCUCACCUCAUGAACUCCUCAUGGAAGACCAGGAGCACAUAUCACCUGGGAACCAUCUCAGACUGCCACUUCCAGCCUGAGUUUGGGCCAUACCUACAGGGCCACCACUAGCCUUUGUGCAAAUCAGAAAAAGGUACCCACUUUUGGCAGAUACAGGAAACCAUGAAGGAGGUCACAGACUGCCUUUCAGCUUCCUAGCUCCCUUUGCUAGGUGCCUUUUUGCAGUGCAUGCACAGGACAGAUGUACUCUGUGGCCUGGCUUUGGGUCCUUCAUCUGGCUUUGGGACCCCUCCUAUGGCCACAGUGACCACAAUGCACAGAAAUAGCUUUUAUUUGCUCAUCUCACUACUUGUCCCCUCGCCACCACCUCCCGCCAUGAAAAUUCUUUGAAGGUAAGGAGGAGUCCCCUACCUGCCUUGGGCCCGAAGCUUGGCCUCCAAAGAGGUACCAGUAAUAACAAUUGUAGCCAGAAUCUUUCUGAGCUCUUGCUUGUCAGGGACCAUGCUAAUUGCUUUUUGAACAUAGGCUUAUUAAAUCCACAGGCUUGGACACCUGUGUGAGGUUACAAAGUAGCAAAACCAGGAUUUCAAUCCAUGCCUUGUCUGAGGCAUUUUCCAUGACUGCCAUUUAUCUGCUAAUAUCUGUCAUUGAUUAAACAUCCAGUGACUGGAAAUGGCCACAUGGAGAGGAGUGUGGGAGUUAGGAUCUCCAAUAAAGAUGGCCAAUUUGGAACUCAGUCUAAGGUUUACCCUUCUUUGGGCCCCAGUUCUGUCACCUGUAUCACAAAGGAUGGGAGCAAAGGCAUUUGAAACCCUGCCUGCUGGGGCAGGGCACAGGAUAGUGUUCAGUGGGGUCAUGCUGGACUGUGACCUCAGCCAAAAUCCCAGGGCAGGCCUGGGGGUGCAAACACGGGCAGAGGCAGGGAGGAGCCUAACCGCACCAGACUGUGGCCCCGGGCCUUUGGGUCUGGGCCCUCACGCACUGACCACUGGACUUUAGGUCCUCCCCACCCCACCCCCAUGACGUCUGAAGGAGCAGAGAGCUGUGAAAUGAAAAUUCAAAAAGCCAAGUCUCUCAAGUAACCCAGGCUUGCCCAUUCCUGAGAAGUCAGUUUGGUGGCCAAUGCCUGGCCUUGACCUGUGUAAACAGAGGGGAAGGGAUGAGGACAGAAGGAAGACUCCAGUCCCAGAACAAAAUGACUCUGGGGACAGAGGCUGAGAGAAAGCAGGAAGCAAGCUAUAUUUCCCAUUGCCCAGGCACAGCUACAUACACGCCAUAGACAACCAGAUACAGCCCUGUUCUCAGUGAGGCACAGGGAACUCAGCCUGUAUAUGGGAUAUUGAUGGGGAGAGGGACAGUUUGGGGGCUGUUGUGCCCCUGACAAUAACCCUUGGCUUCUCUAGACACAAUCAUGGUUCAACUCUGUCCUAUGGGAGUGGGACUGAGUGCUCCCAGAGGCCAAAGCUGUGGCUCCAGCCUCCCUGCCACACUUCAGGAAGAGGGAGGGAG
Molecule: long non-coding RNA, 2656 nt
Filed under: Homo sapiens (human)
Lineage: Eukaryota; Metazoa; Chordata; Mammalia; Primates; Hominidae
Description: HSALNT0095172
Source: RNAcentral